RNAcentral lists this ribosomal RNA (497 nucleotides) under uncultured bacterium. RNAcentral's name for it is "partial 16S ribosomal RNA". It matches the Rfam family "Bacterial small subunit ribosomal RNA", at positions 28 to 507 of the family's 1533-position model. The record is from RNAcentral.
GAUGAACGCUGGCGGCGUGCCUAAUACAUGCCAGUCGAGCGAACGGACGAGAAGCUCGCUCUUCUGAUGUUAGCGGCGGACGGGCGAGUAACACGUGGAUAACCUACCUAUAAGACUGGGAUAACUUCGGGAAACCGGAGCUAAUACCGGAUAAUACUUUGAACCGCAUGGUUCAAAAGUGAAAGACGGUCUUGCUGUCACUUAUAGAUGGAUCCGCGCUGCAUUAGCUAGUUGGUAAGGUAACGGCUUACCAAGGCAACGAUGCAUAGCCGACCUGAGAGGGUGAUCAGCCACACUGGAACUGAGACACGGUCCAGACUCCUACGGGAGGCAGCAGUAGGGAAUCUUCCGCAAUGGGCGAAAGCCUGACGGAGCAACGCCGCGUGAGUGAUGAAGGUCUUCGGGUCGUAAAACUCUGUUGUUAGGGAAGAACAUAUGUGUAAGUAACUGUGCACAUCUUGACGGUACCUAAUCAGAAAGCCACGGCUAACUACGUG